UGCGUAGGUGGUUUCUUAAGUCAGAGGUGAAAGGCUACGGCUCAACCGUAGUAAGCCUUUGAAACUGGGAAACUUGAGUGCAGGAGAGGAGAGUGGAAUUCCUAGUGUAGCGGUGAAAUGCGUAGAUAUUAGGAGGAACACCAGUUGCGAAGGCGGCUCUCUGGACUGUAACUGACACUGAGGCACGAAAGCGUGGGGAGCAAACAG
Molecule: ribosomal RNA, 207 nt
Filed under: uncultured bacterium
Lineage: Bacteria
Also listed under: 1 other name
Description: partial 16S ribosomal RNA
Rfam family: Bacterial small subunit ribosomal RNA
Source: RNAcentral